GACGAACGCUGGCGGCGUGCCUAAUACAUGCAAGUAGGACGCAGUUGCGAACGGGUGAGUAACGCGUAGGUAACUACCUAUUAGAGGGGGAUAACUAUUGGAAACGAUAGCUAAUACCGCAUACUAGUAGAUGGACCUGCGUUGUAUUAGCUAGUAGGUGGGGUAAUGGCCUACCUAGGCAACGAUACAUAGCCGACCUGCGAGGGUGUUCGGCCACACGGGUACUGAGACACGGCCCGGACUCCUCCGGGAGGCAGCAUUAGGGAUUUUUCGGCAUUGGGGGGACCCCUGACCGAGCAACGCCGCGGAGUUGAGGAAGGUUUUCGGUUCGUAAAGCUCUUUUUUUAAGGAAACGGUACUUAACCAGAAAGGGACGGCUAACUACGUGCCAGCAGCCGCGGUAAUUC
Molecule: ribosomal RNA, 407 nt
Filed under: uncultured bacterium
Lineage: Bacteria
Description: partial 16S ribosomal RNA
Rfam family: Bacterial small subunit ribosomal RNA
Source: RNAcentral